RNAcentral lists this long non-coding RNA (1599 nucleotides) under Anas platyrhynchos platyrhynchos (common mallard). Its description in RNAcentral is "lncRNA (ENSAPLG00000018794.1)". The record is from RNAcentral. Lineage: Eukaryota; Metazoa; Chordata; Aves; Anseriformes; Anatidae.
GUUUGAUUGGGAAUGAUUCAGGGAGGGUGUUUCAUUAGCAGCUUAGAAAUGGCAACACGUCAUUUGUACUAAACAGCACUAUUUUGUUUCCCCCUCUGAACAAGUUUGGGAAACCCCUCGAGCAAAAUUUUGCUGAAACCCUUUAUACACAGUGGUCCCAACUUGUCCAGAAAGUCCCAACUGGAUUACACUGAUGUGAUCAACUCAGUCCUUAUGGGCGUCACUGCCAGCAGAGAUAUUGCACCCUCCCCUGCCCUGGGAGGACCGAUAGCCAAAACAGCUCUGAGGGAGAUGCCAAUUACCAAUUAAACUCCCUUUUAUCUUCCUGAGAAGUCAGAAGCUGGAGGCCUUGGCUGCUGCUUUGACUCCUGGUUUCCUCUGAGUUUUUCCACUGGGUGCUUGCAGCUUUUUUUAAGUUCCCAUUUGCUCCAGAAGCAGAGUGUCAAAUGCAGCACUGCCUGCAGCAGAGACAUGCACUCGGCUAUGGCAGAGCUGUAGAGAGCAAGCCUGAGGACAUCUGGAUGGGAAGGCUUGGAUCGUCUUUAACCUGGAAUCAUAUCUGUAACGUGGAGACUGUUCAAGUUUUAUUUUAUACUUGAACUCAAAUCCUUGCCCAUCUCUCUGGAGAUGGCAGCAUUGAAGAGUAUGAGGAGGACUGAAACACCCUGUGUGGGGUUGUCUCUCUGAGAGAAGAUCUGCACGCACAAGAAAACAGCUCAAUAUGUGUGAAGAUGUAGCCACACUGACCUGCUGUGGACUGCGUCCAACUAACUUCCAGCCAGCUGUGUCAGGUCCUCCUGCUGCAGCGUGGCAGAGAGACUACUCUGCAGCUCCCAGCUGAGCUCCCCAGGGUUCAGAAAACCUCACACACCACACUGAAGCUACAGCUACAUGCAGCACCUGGAAAAGCAAAGGAAUAACAAAGGCAAAUCAAGAAAACCUGUGAAGGGAGCCUACCUACAUGAAAAUUUGUAAGUUAUGUAAAUCUUUAGUUCUCAGGGGAGAAUUGAAGCACAGCAAAAAAGGCCACCGUAUCAGAGAAUGAGAAUGCUCUCCUGACUUCCCUCUCCAUCUCUGUGUAUUCCAGGUGUAUUCGUGGGGGACCUGGGCAAAACUAGUUUUUCCUUCUCUCUCAAAGGCCAUUUAACCUGCCUCUCCUCCCAGUCUCUUCAGGGUGUAGCAGGCUAGUGGCAGCUGCAUCCUAGCUUUACCUGGGAGCAACUGGAAUUACCAUGAGAACAGAAUUGCUCACGGUGCGUGGCCAAAUUCACUCUUGGGCAAGAUGUGAUUUGUUAUGAUCAAAAAUGUCAACAACAGGAUCUGAAGGUGCUAAUUAGUCUCCUUGGCAUCCUCCCCACACCUGGUAUUUUAGGGCUAUUCGACAAUGCAAACUUACACAAAAUUAUCAACUUUGGGUUAAAUUCAUCCCUUUUAUUGUAUUUCUAACUUGAAAUAGUGUAAUUCGCUGUUCAAAAGCUCAUUUAUGUAAAACUCUAAACUUUAUUAGUUAAACUAAACUGAUUAAACUUAUUACCACUAGGGAUAAUUUUAAAGAGGCACAUUCCAAACCAUUGAAAAAGAAGAUAUAACACUUAAAUA